UAAUGUAGACAGAGAUGACCUUAAUGA
This 27-nucleotide non-coding RNA is filed under the name Rattus norvegicus (Norway rat). Lineage: Eukaryota; Metazoa; Chordata; Mammalia; Rodentia; Muridae. The record is from RNAcentral.